CCUACGGGUGACAGCAGUGGGGAAUAUUGGGCAAUGGGCGCAAGCCUGACCCAGCAACGCCGCGUGAAGGAAGAAGGCUCUCGGGUUGUAAACUUCUUUUCUUAGGGACGUAGAAAGUGACGGUACCUGAGGUAUAAGCCUCGGCUAACUACGUGCCAGCAGUCGCGGCAAUACGGAGGCCGCAAGCGUUAUCCGGAUUUAAUGGGUGUAAAGGGCGUGUAGGCGGGAGCGUAAGUCAGAUGUGAAAUUUCAGGGCUCAACCAUGAGACUGCCUUUGAAACUGGAUUUCUUGAGUGCUGGAGAGGCAGUCGGAAUGCGGUGUGUAGCGGUGAAAUGCGUAGAUAUACGGAAGAACACCAGUGGCGAAGGCGGAUUGCUAGACAGUAACUGACGCUGAGGCGCGAAAGCGUGGGGAGCAAACAGGAUUAGAUACCCGGGUAGUC
This 443-nucleotide ribosomal RNA is filed under the name uncultured bacterium. RNAcentral describes it as "partial 16S ribosomal RNA". It matches the Rfam family "Bacterial small subunit ribosomal RNA", at positions 338 to 795 of the family's 1533-position model. The record is from RNAcentral.